UACGUAGGGGGCAAGCGUUAUCCGGAUUUACUGGGUGUAAAGGGAGCGUAGACGGCAAUACAAGUCGGAAGUGAAAUACCCGGGCUCAACCUGGGAACUGCUUUGGAAACUGUAUGGCCGGAGUGCUGGAGAGGUAAGCGGAAUUCCUAGUGUAGCGGUGAAAUGCGUAGAUAUUAGGAGGAACACCAGUGGCGAAGGCGGCUUACUGGACAGUAACUGACGUUGAGGCUCGAAAGCGUGGGGAGCAAACAGG
RNAcentral lists this ribosomal RNA (253 nucleotides) under uncultured bacterium. RNAcentral's name for it is "partial 16S ribosomal RNA". It matches the Rfam family "Bacterial small subunit ribosomal RNA", at positions 524 to 776 of the family's 1533-position model. The record is from RNAcentral.